GUGGGGAAUAUUGCACAAUGGGGGAAACCCUGAUGCAGCAACGCCGCGUGAGUGAUGACGGCCUUCGGGUUGUAAAGCUCUGUCUUCAGGGACGAUAAUGACGGUACCUGAGGAGGAAGCCACGGCUAACUACGUGCCAGCAGCCGCGGUAAUACGUAGGUGGCAAGCGUUGUCCGGAUUUACUGGGCGUAAAGGGAGCGUAGGCGGACUUUUAAGUGAGAUGUGAAAUACCCGGGCUUAACCUGGGUGCUGCAUUUCAAACUGGAAGUCUAGAGUGCAGGAGAGGAGAAUGGAAUUCCUAGUGUAGCGGUGAAAUGCGUAGAGAUUAGGAAGAACACCAGUGGCGAAGGCGACUUACUGGACUGUAACUGACACUGAGGCAUGAAAGCGUGGGGAGCAAACAGGAUUAGAUACCCCGGUAGUCC
Molecule: ribosomal RNA, 425 nt
Filed under: uncultured bacterium
Lineage: Bacteria
Description: partial 16S ribosomal RNA
Rfam family: Bacterial small subunit ribosomal RNA
Source: RNAcentral